CUGUGCUAGUUCUGGGUGUGGUAAUUGUGCUUCCUGUGAAUCCCUGCAGAGAUCCGGGAGGCUCCCAUCAACCCAGCCAGCAAAGCCAGCAAGAGGAAGAGGGAUGAUGUGGCUCUGGAGCAGCAGGAGUCCUGGUUUGUGGUGCUGGAGAGGGAUUUGCCAGAGGAUGACCCUGAAGACCACUCAUAUGAGCCCUCGGAGCUGGAGUCAGACAGUGACGAGUACCAGACCCAAAAUGACACCGACCUGGAGCUGGAGGAGCAGGGUGGGGUCCCUGUGCUGGAGCUCUCAGCUGUCCAGGGCUCCGUGUUGCCCCCAGAGCCGGGAGCAGAGGAUCCAGCUGUGGCCAGCGAUGAGGGAGAUGCUCCAGAUGUGGCCAGUGGUGAUGCCCAGGAGCCACGAGGGGCUGGCAGCAGUGAGCAGGAGACUGACACAGCCUGUGACACCAGCUCAUCCCAG
This is a long non-coding RNA of Serinus canaria (Common canary), 459 nucleotides long. NCBI's taxonomy places the organism in Eukaryota, Metazoa, Chordata, Aves, Passeriformes, Fringillidae. The record is from Ensembl.